ACGAGUGGCGGACGGGUGAGUAAUGUCUGGGAAACUGCCCGAUGGAGGGGGAUAACUACUGGAAACGGUAGCUAAUACCGCAUAACGUCGCAAGACCAAAGAGGGGGACCUUCGGGCCUCUUGCCAUCGGAUGUGCCCAGAUGGGAUUAGCUAGUAGGUGGGGUAAAGGCUUACCUAGGCGACGAUCCCUAGCUGGUCUGAGAGGAUGACCAGCCACACUGGAACUGAGACACGGUCCAGACUCCUACGGGAGGCAGCAUG
RNAcentral lists this ribosomal RNA (261 nucleotides) under uncultured bacterium. RNAcentral's name for it is "partial 16S ribosomal RNA". It matches the Rfam family "Bacterial small subunit ribosomal RNA", at positions 91 to 353 of the family's 1533-position model. The record is from RNAcentral.